This 92-nucleotide small nuclear RNA is filed under the name Solanum tuberosum (potato). The record is from RNAcentral. Lineage: Eukaryota; Viridiplantae; Streptophyta; Magnoliopsida; Solanales; Solanaceae.
GUCCCUUCAGGGACAUCCGAUAAAAUUGAAAUGAUACUAAGAAGAUCAGCAUGGCUGCGACAAGCACAAAUUGAGAAAUGGUCCGAAUUUCU